RNAcentral lists this long non-coding RNA (3686 nucleotides) under Sorghum bicolor (sorghum). RNAcentral describes it as "long non-coding RNA (SBIC_LNC003796)". Lineage: Eukaryota; Viridiplantae; Streptophyta; Magnoliopsida; Poales; Poaceae. The record is from RNAcentral.
UUAGAUUGGCCGGUCAACCCAUUGUUUUUUUAUUAAAUUUAGGGUGCUACAACUAGCUUUAGAGCUAUGAGAGAUCUAGGAAAUAAAGGCUAGCAGCAUAAUACACCUCUUCCAUGGUUCCACCACACACAUAUGCCGUCUAGACUACUAAUUAUUGGAGACACCAUGCACUUGGUUCCUCCCCUCUUUAAAGGCUGCACAUGGAAAUUACAAGUCAUAAUAUAUUACAAGUUUAUAAAUUACUACCUCUGCCACAAAACAAAAUAAACGCACAUAUUCUAGUUUCCCGUGGAGCUAAAUAUUUUAAAUUUGACUAAUACAUGAAAAACAUACUAAUAUUUAUGAUUUAUAAUAAGUAGUAUCAUUUGAUUAAUAUAGAAUAUACUUUCAUAAUAAAAUUGUUUGGAGAUACAAAUUUGAUACUAUUUCCUAUAUUUCUAGAUGAAUUUCUUUUAAAAAGAUAACUUCUCGAGAAUGUUUAUUUUCAGACGAAGUGAGUACGGAGUCUCUUUUCAAAAGAAAAGUAUUGUGUAGAAAAAGCAUGCAUGGAUGCCCCUGAAAGAGAAAAGUUAUACUGCUUAUACCUGGAAUACAGAAGCUUGUGUAGGGAACAAAACAUCUGGCACGCCUGUUGUCAGCUACCUUCCUCACCCGGCCAGACACUACAUCAACAAUGAACGCUCCAGCAUUUACCCGGACAAAGAAGGCGCCAAGGCCAUGCACAAAGGAAACCAUAUAGAUCCAGCCGGUAUUAGGCCUUGUUUAGUUUGCAAAUUUUUUAGUUUUUGGCUACUGUAGCACUUUCGUUUUUAUUUGACAAACAUUGUCCAAUCAUAAAGUAACUAGGCUCAAAAGAUUCAUCUCACAAAUUAUAGGUAAACUGUGUAAUUAGUUUUUAUUUUCGUCUAUAUUUAAUGCUCCAUGCAUACGACCAAAGAUUCGAUGUGACGGAGAAUCUUGAAAAUUUUUGCAAACUAAACAAGGCCUUAAUAGCACGGACAGGGAGCAAUGUCUCGAGCUCAACGAUUCCACUUGGUGCCCACCCCAAAACUCCAUCCGACGACCACAGGUGAAGCCUUGAGUUCUCAAUCCUGGCGAUUCCCAAUCCAUCAUCAUCUUCUAUUCUUCUCUAGUCGCGAGCAGAAUCCGACACCUUCUGUCGGCGCAAUCGGGAGGUAGAUCGACGAAGCCGAUCUCCUGCGCUCCCAAAUCGUACUUGAGUAUUCCAAUUCUCAUCUUCGUAUAAACACUGAAGUAUAGGGUACUAGUACCCUAGCCAUAAGAGCGCCAACACGCAUGCAGUCAAAGUCGUACUAGUACAGUGCUCCAUUGAUUCAAUCAAGACAAGCGGUUGAGAUGACACGUACGAUUGGACAGGUAUAUCGGCCGCCAAAUCAUACGCUGACAUAAUAUAUGAUGUGAGAGGCGGUAUGGUUCUUCGUCGGGCCUUUUCAUCAUCGCAUAAUAUAUGCUUAGGCCUUGUUUAGUUCAACCCAAAAACUAAAAAGUUUUCAAGAUUUUCUAUCACAUCGGAUCUUGCGGUACAUGUAUGAAGCAUUAAAUAUAGAUAAAAACAAAAACUAAUUACACAGUUUACCUGUAAAUCACGAGACAAAUCUUUUGACUCUAGUUAGUUCAUGAUUGGACAAUAUUUGCCACAAACAAACGAAAGUGCUAUAGUAGCGAAAUCCAAAAACUUUUCGCAUUUUCCUUAAAAAAAACUUUUCGCAUCUAAACAAGGCCUUAAUUGAGUGAGACAAGGACAUAUACAUCCAGACACAAGAUAGGAAGCUAGACCUACAACUAGCUAGCUGAGGUCCUGGCCUAGGGAUACGACCGUUUUUUUUUUUUGUUUUGUGAUUUUUUUUUCAAAAUAUUCUUACAAUUACAUAUCUGUUAGUUUUAUUUCAAAAUCUGAACCCAGAGCUCGACGCCAUUGCUACUGGUGCUCAAGAGUACUCUAGAUAGAUUAGAGGCACGCAGGUUUAUAGCGUAAUUUUAACGGCACUAUCAGUUUUAAGCGUACGCAUAUAAAGCCCCUGUAGAACAAACGACGCCCAUUGAGUAUCAUCUAACCAUACUCAAUACACGCUGGGACGACGGAUCUAGAACUAGCUAGGAAGCUUUGAUGUUAGUGGCAUUGUUAUGACGGUUAAAUGUGUCAUUGCUUCUUAUGUGCACAGUAAUAUUUUCCACUGAGUUUGCAAAAGUUAUUGUAACAUUGUGAAGCUCCUGCUCUUGUAUCCAUCAGAAAUUUUUGUACCUACAAAGAAAUCCAGGCCUAUGAGCGCAUGCAAUUUUGCGUUUAUACUAAUGCCCAUACGGGUAGCGGGGACCUACAAGUUCUCUUUGCCCACAAGAAGAAAUGCAAUACAUGUAUUAAACUGUGACGACUAUACGAGUGAAAAUAAUAUAACACCAAAUAUAUAAUAACAAAAUGUAAUAGAAAGACGAUAUAUAUGUUAGCCCUUCUUUUACGGCACUGGGUGUAUCGGUUAGACAAUAUUUUAGAGUAUAUAUAUUAGGUUGGAAGAUGCUGGCUUUAAAUUAUAGUUGCAUAUCUAGUACAUACAUACCCAUACCCAUAUGGGUCUAGGUAACCCAUGAACCCAAUAAAUAUGAAGCUUUGUCCAUUAAUAUAUUCAUUAUGUAAAUUAGCCGCACUUAUACCCUAAUAAUAGAGUAAAAGACCAUCAAAUUUCAGGAUUUCAGGUUAAGGAUAGACAUCGGCAUCCCUAAUCCUUAACUCCGACAUUUUCAAUAUGCGGGUGUGUGAUUUGCUAGCGAUCAUAAUCCCACACCAACCGCACUCAAUGCGCGAACAUCAAUGUCGUGCCACUGGUGAACCCUAGGUGGCUGUCAAGGAAACGCGCCUGAUCAUCAACAGUGUAAUAGAAAAAAAUAGAUAGAGAGAAAGUAACACAUGUAUUAAACUGUAACUAUAUAAAAAAAAUAGGAUAAUAGAACAACAAUAGAAAAAUUAUAUAUAUGUUGCCCCUUUUAUAGCACUAUAGGUGUGCUGGUUGGACCAUGUUUUGCAAUAUAUUAUGUCAAAAUAUGGUUUUAAAUUAUAGUUGCAUAUUGGGUACAUAUAUAACCAUGGAUUUAUAAGUUCAAGUAGAGCAUAACCAUACUCAGUACCAUGAACUUUUAUCCAUUAUAAUAUACUAAUGGUUAUGUAAAUUACUCCACACCCAUAUGCUGGUAAUACUCCCGUAGACAUCAGUAAUAUACUCCCUCUGUUCAAGCUUCAAUUUCUAGAGUUAUCUUAAGUCAAAAAUUUUAAACUUUGACUGAUUUUCUAAAAAAAUGAUAAAUUUAUAGUACCAAAUUAGUACUAUUAGAUUUAUUAUAAAAUAUAUUUUUAUAAGAUAUUUUAUACAGAUUCUAGAAAUUGAAGCUUUUAAUGACAGAUGUGUAAAAAAACUCAGGUAUAUGCAUUGGCAUCCUACCUCCGACAUGGUCGGUGUGUGCGGGUAGGCGAUUUGCCGGCGAUCCCAAUCAUACACCAGCCGCACUUAAUUUGCGGACAGCAAUGCGGCGCCACUGGGACACUGAUGAAGCCCCGGCAGUCGUGGUCGAGGAUCACGCGCCCGCUACGAUUUCGCCGUCGUCCACCUCGGCCGCGGCGUGGCGGGGGCGCUCUCCGUCCAUCCACACCGGCAGCCUCGCUUUCGCACGUUAAU